This 82-nucleotide transfer RNA is filed under the name Azoarcus sp. KH32C. It matches the Rfam family "tRNA". Rfam says of the family: Transfer RNA (tRNA) molecules are approximately 80 nucleotides in length. Lineage: Bacteria; Pseudomonadati; Pseudomonadota; Betaproteobacteria; Rhodocyclales; Zoogloeaceae. The record is from Rfam by way of RNAcentral.
GCCGGGGUGGUGAAAUUGGUAGACACAGCAGACUUAAAAUCUGCCGCCGUCAGGCUUACGGGUUCGAGUCCCGUUCCCGGCA